CUACUGCUCCUCUUUACAAUCCUCCCUCAUCCAAUCCUAAUCCCAAUCCUCAGACAUUUAAUCCCACUUCUCAACCACCUGCUUUCCCUUCCUUUGAGUCUCAUGUUCCUUAUCAAUCUCCUUCUCAGUCCCAAUCGUAUUAUUCAACCUACGAUCAGCAUCAUACGGCUCCUAAUUAUGCCCCUACUCCUACUCCUCCACCUUCCUCAAUUCCGAUGAAUCAGACCUCUAAUUCUACCCCUAGUCCUAAUUCUCCCUACUCCCCCAUGUAUUCCGCUCCCUUUGGCUCUUUGGCUCCCCCCUCGUAUGAAAACCCGUAUGAAAGUUCUGUAAAAUUUGAUCAAGGAGGU
This 350-nucleotide long non-coding RNA is filed under the name Cucumis sativus (cucumber). RNAcentral's name for it is "long non-coding RNA (CSAT_LNC001321)". Lineage: Eukaryota; Viridiplantae; Streptophyta; Magnoliopsida; Cucurbitales; Cucurbitaceae. The record is from RNAcentral.